This 283-nucleotide unclassified non-coding RNA is filed under the name Hevea brasiliensis (rubber tree). Lineage: Eukaryota; Viridiplantae; Streptophyta; Magnoliopsida; Malpighiales; Euphorbiaceae. The record is from RNAcentral.
UCCAUUGAUAUUACCACCAGUUUUCCUUCCACAGAGAACGUCCAUAAGAGUGGUUUUUCCAGCUCCACUAACACCCAUUAAUGCUGUCAGAAUACCAGGUCUAAAUGUGCCAGUAAUGUCAGAAAGCAGCUGAAGCUUCUUCUGUGCAUAACCUCGUUUUCUCAUUUCCAAAGGGGUGUCAACAUAGUACUGCAGAUCCUGAAAUGUUAUCGCAAGGGGCUCAAAAGGUAAAACCAUCCUUCCUUUUUUCGCCCCAGUGUUAGGUAUAGGAUUACCAUCAUUG